GGAAGGGUACUCAAGAGGCCGAAGAGGGCGGUUUGCUAAACCGCUAGUAGGGUCAUAGGGCCCUAGCGAGGGUUCGAAUCCCUCCCCUUCCG
Molecule: transfer RNA, 92 nt
Filed under: Limnochorda pilosa
Lineage: Bacteria; Bacillati; Bacillota; Limnochordia; Limnochordales; Limnochordaceae
Rfam family: tRNA
About the family: Transfer RNA (tRNA) molecules are approximately 80 nucleotides in length. Their secondary structure includes four short double-helical elements and three loops (D, anti-codon, and T loops).
Source: Rfam by way of RNAcentral